GCGGAUGUGGCGGAACUGGCAGACGCGCUGGCCUUAGGAGCCAGUGGUUUUACCGUGGGGGUUCGAGUCCCUCCAUCCGCACCA
Molecule: transfer RNA, 84 nt
Filed under: Candidatus Omnitrophota bacterium
Lineage: Bacteria; Pseudomonadati; Candidatus Omnitrophota
Description: Candidatus Omnitrophica bacterium tRNA-Leu
Rfam family: tRNA
About the family: Transfer RNA (tRNA) molecules are approximately 80 nucleotides in length.
Source: RNAcentral